GAUGAACGCUGGCGGCGUGCCUAAUACAUGCCAGUCGAGCGAACAGACGAGGAGCUUGCUCCUCUGACGUUAGCGGCGGACGGGUGAGUAACACGUGGAUAACCUACCUAUAAGACUGGGAUAACUUCGGGAAACCGGAGCUAAUACCGGAUAAUAUAUUGAACCGCAUGGUUCAAUAGUGAAAGACGGUUUUGCUGUCACUUAUAGAUGGAUCCGCGCCGCAUUAGCUAGUUGGUAAGGUAACGGCUUACCAAGGCAACGAUGCGUAGCGACCUGAGAGGGUGAUCGGCCACACUGGAACUGAGACACGGUCCAGACUCCUACGGGAGGCAGCAGUAGGGAAUCUUCCGCAAUGGGCGAAAGCCUGACGGAGCAACGCCGCGUGAGUGAUGAAGGUCUUCGGAUCGUAAAACUCUGUUAUUAGGGAAGAACAAAUGUGUAAGUAACUAUGCACGUCUUGACGGUACCUAAUCAGAAAGCCACGGCUAACUACGUG
RNAcentral lists this ribosomal RNA (496 nucleotides) under uncultured bacterium. RNAcentral describes it as "partial 16S ribosomal RNA". It matches the Rfam family "Bacterial small subunit ribosomal RNA", at positions 28 to 507 of the family's 1533-position model. The record is from RNAcentral.